Molecule: transfer RNA, 67 nt
Filed under: Marmota monax (woodchuck)
Lineage: Eukaryota; Metazoa; Chordata; Mammalia; Rodentia; Sciuridae
Description: tRNA.Ala
Source: RNAcentral
UUGUAGCUCAGUGGGAGAGCGCUUGCCUAGCAUGUGUGAGGCACUGGGUUCGAUCCUCAGACAUAAA